AAUCCAGAAUGCUUCUGCUUUAAAAUACUGGUGUGGGAGUGUAGUCUCAGGGGACUACAAUGCCCCAGACGGGUCCCUGGUGGUGGUGGUCUUCGUCUCCUGAGUAAAACCAGUUGUCUGCACCAGUAUUCGUCCCUUCCCAGAAGUCCUCCUCCAGGGAAAGUCUCUACAGUUCUCCCAAGACACUAAAGUUUCAAACUAGUUUCUUUAGUCCUGUAUUACGUCCAACAGUUGUCUUCAAGCGGCACUCUUGUCCUUCCAACACCUUCCUGCACUGGAAGUGCCCCAGCUUCCCUUCGCCCCUCACCCCCAGCUUGUCUCCCGGCCUUAAAGGCCGCAGGGAACUACACUCCAUCCUGUGGAAUACCUGAUGCAUGAAACAACGGCUGGUAAGAACUGUGCGUAAAUACUGAUACCUACAGCUGGGAUCAAGUUAACUCUUACUGCUAGUCUUGGCAGAGGGUUCCAGCUAAUUAAUAUCAAGGAUAAGGAAGCCUUCAGUCAGAAUGUGAUCCAGUUCAUGUGGAGAAGCGACUGAGGGCGGGGCGAGGGCCUGGAGGUGGUCAUCCGGGUACACUGUCCUGCACCAACUGGUCUCACUGGAGGGCUCGGGUGACAACAGGGAAGGCCAAGAGGACCGUCUCGGGCUACUGAAGAACAUCUAUAACGAAGGCAUAAAGUGGCAGGACAUUGCCAGCAUGUCAGUCUGUCGUCUGUGGGACCAGCCUGAGAUAUAUAUUUUUGCCAGAAAAUGGCCUCGUUUGUUGAAAGGUUAAGUUGUAAAAUAUUAAAAUUUAUUAUAGCA
Procambarus clarkii (red swamp crayfish) is the source of this 805-nucleotide long non-coding RNA. RefSeq lists it as uncharacterized. The record is from RefSeq and is a predicted model, not a curated record. Lineage: Eukaryota; Metazoa; Arthropoda; Malacostraca; Decapoda; Cambaridae.